CAUAACCUUUAGCUAAACCAGUAUUAAAGGCAACGCCUGCCCAGUGAAUAAUUAAACGGCCGCGGUACCCUAACCGUGCAAAGGUAGCGUAAUCAUUUGUCUAUUAAUUGUAGACCUGUAUGAAAGGCAUAAUGAGGGUUUAACUGUCUCUUUUAGUAAAUCAAUUAAACUGAUCUCCUAGUCCAAAAGCUAGGAUACCAACAUAAGACCAGAAGACCCUGUGAAACUUUAACUAAAAUAUUAAAGCCUAUAAUAACUACUUUAGGUUGGGGCGACCUUGGAAAAUAAAAGAACUUCCAUACACAUAUUAUACAAUAAUACAUCACCGGCUAACAAGCCUAUAACGACCCAGCACAGCUGAUAAUUGAACCAAGCUACUCCAGGGAUAACAGCGCUAUCUUCUUCAAGAGCCCAUAUCAAAAAGAAGGUUUACGACCUCGAUGUUGGAUCAGGACAUCCUAAUGGUGCAACCGCUAUUAAGGGUUCGUUUGUUCAACGAUUAAUAGUCCUACGUGAUCUG
This 520-nucleotide ribosomal RNA is filed under the name Hydrophis curtus (Shaw's sea snake). Its description in RNAcentral is "partial 16S ribosomal RNA". It matches the Rfam family "Bacterial large subunit ribosomal RNA", at positions 1814 to 2607 of the family's 2925-position model. The record is from RNAcentral. Lineage: Eukaryota; Metazoa; Chordata; Lepidosauria; Squamata; Elapidae.